Molecule: long non-coding RNA, 937 nt
Filed under: Olea europaea subsp. europaea
Lineage: Eukaryota; Viridiplantae; Streptophyta; Magnoliopsida; Lamiales; Oleaceae
Source: RNAcentral
GUUUUCAUGGUGUGAUCUUGUUUACUUCAAUAUUGUCAUUAAAUCUCAUUCUUUAUAAUCUGAUUUGGGAUCAACAAGUGGUAUCGGAGCUUCCGCACCCAACAAGUGGUAUCAGAGCUUGGUUCCUUUCGUAGAUUGGUUGAGAUUUUUUGGGAUGGUUGGGUUGAAGUAUGAUAUUCUGCAACUAGAUCGCAAUACAAGGUUUUCUUUGUGGUAAGAAAAGAUGAGGGCUGUUCUAGUGCAAUUAGAUUUGGACGAUACGUUGCUGGGUUUUGAGAAGAUGCUAGUUGAUUGGACAAUGGAGGAGAAACAACGGAAGGAGGGAAGGCUGUGUCGUUGAUUCAUCUUCAUUUAUCCAACAAUAUUCUGCAGGAUGUCUUGAAGGAGAAGAUGGAGGCUACUUUGUGGUUGAGACUAGAGCAGUUAUACAUGUCUAAUAGUCUUACCAGUAAACUGACUCUUAAGUAGAAGCUAUAUUCCCAUCGCAUGACGGAGAGAGGGUCGUUGGAAGAUCAGAUUACCAUGUUUAAAGAAAUAGUUGCAGCUUUGAAAACAUUGGAGGUUAAGUACGAUGAACAGGAUCUUGCCUUGUUUUUGUUGUGUUCGCUGCCUGGUUCUUAUGCGUCGUUUCGAGACACCAUCUUGUAUAGUCGAGAUAUUUUGACUAUAGACGAUGUCUAUGAUGCUUUGCACUCAAAGGAGAAGAUGAAGCAUUUGAUUGGAGCUACAUCAAGGGAUGGGAAAGCUCUUGUAUCUCAAGGUGGUUGACGGAGAGGCAGAUCAAAAGUCAACUUUAGCAAUGUGUAUUGUUACUACUGUAAACGGAAUGGACAUAUUCGAAAGGAUUGUGAUAUGUUGCUGGCUAGAGAUGAUUUAAUUGCAAAUCGUGGAGCGCAACCUUUGACUUCAGAUGAAAUCAAUGUAGUUGAGAAUUUUU